UACGGGGGGGGCAAGCGUUGUUCGGAAUUACUGGGCGUAAAGGGCGCGUAGGCGGCCUGCUAAGUCGGAUGUGAAAUCCCUCGGCUCAACCGAGGAAUUGCGCUCAAAACUACUUAGCUUGAGGGAGUUAGAGGUGAGCGGAACUAAUGGUGGAGCGGUGAAAUGCGUUGAUAUCAUUAGGAACACCGGUGGCGAAAGCGGCUCACUGGGACUCUUCUGACGCUGAGGCACGAAAGCUAGGGUAGCGAACAGG
This 253-nucleotide ribosomal RNA is filed under the name uncultured bacterium. RNAcentral describes it as "partial 16S ribosomal RNA". It matches the Rfam family "Bacterial small subunit ribosomal RNA", at positions 524 to 776 of the family's 1533-position model. The record is from RNAcentral.